This 406-nucleotide ribosomal RNA is filed under the name uncultured bacterium. Its description in RNAcentral is "partial 16S ribosomal RNA". It matches the Rfam family "Bacterial small subunit ribosomal RNA", at positions 30 to 526 of the family's 1533-position model. The record is from RNAcentral.
AUUGAACGCUGGCGGCAGGCCUAACACAUGCAAGUCGAACGAGUGGCGGACGGGUGAGUACUGUCUGGGAAACUGCCUGAUGGAGGGGGAUAACUACUGGAAACGGUAGCUAAUACCGCAUACCAUCGGAUGUGCCCAGAUUGGAUUAGCUAGUAGGUGGGGUAAAGGCUCACCUAGGCGACGAUCCCUAGCUGGUCUGAGAGGAUGACCAGCCAGCAUAGAGCUAAGACAAGGUCCAGACUCCUACGAGAGGCAGAAGUGGGGAAUAUUGCACAAUGGGCGAAAGCCUGAUGCGGCCAUGCCGCGUGGAUGAAGAAGGCCUUCGGGGUGUAAAGUACUUGCAGCGGGGAGGCGUUACCCGCAGAAGAAGCACCGGAUAACUCCCUGCCAGAAGCCGCGGUAAUAC